ACAACAAGUCCCCAGGGACAGCUAAGCACUCCAGUGUCUAGGGGCUGUGGGAAACUGGAAAGAAACAAUCCAGUGUAAAUAUGACUUCCAAGCUGGCUGUUGCUCUACUGCUCUCUUGGCAGUUGCAUGCUUUCUGUAGCACUGUGUGAAGUGUGAAGCUUAUUCAUGAAGAGACCUCUGCCUGAACAUACAGCAAAUGUAAGAAGGUUGUGCAGAUAGUCUGAAGGACCAGCAGAGAGAAGAGAUUCCAUCUUCCAGAGGUUGCCACUGUCUGCCUCCCCACUUGUCCCCAUCCACAGUCAUCUUUUUUUGUAUAUAUAAUGACACAUUAGUUGUCUAGUUCUUCAUAGUUAAUGUGGUUUAAUUCUGACAUCAUUUCUUUUGCCAUGAAAUUUACACCUUAGUGUUAUUCUCACUGAAAAUUGCCUUUGAGUUCGAUAAACUUUUAUCCCAGUGAUAUUGACUGUUUUAAAUUAACAGAUUUAUCACCAUUUCUGAGCUAUGUAGAGCCUUAAUUGAAAAAGUAUCUUUGAUUAUUUUUUCAUAUUUUGGCCACAUACCUAUAAUAACGGAACAUUUACAAUACUUUUUAGUGGAGAAUUUUUUAAGUAGAAUUUCAAUAAUUAAUGUUUGAUGGAGUUUGGAAGUUACCGUAUUUUGAAGUAUCGUUUAACAUUUUUCUCUCA
This 686-nucleotide small RNA is filed under the name Pongo abelii (Sumatran orangutan). RNAcentral's name for it is "retained intron". The record is from RNAcentral. Lineage: Eukaryota; Metazoa; Chordata; Mammalia; Primates; Hominidae.